Molecule: ribosomal RNA, 467 nt
Filed under: uncultured bacterium
Lineage: Bacteria
Description: partial 16S ribosomal RNA
Rfam family: Bacterial small subunit ribosomal RNA
Source: RNAcentral
ACGAACGCUGGCGGCGUGCUUAACACAUGCAAGUCGAACGGAAAGGCCCUGCUUUUGUGGGGUGCUCGAGUGGCGAACGGGUGAGUAACACGUGAGUAACCUGCCCUUGACUUUGGGAUAACUUCAGGAAACUGGGGCUAAUACCGGAUAGGAGCUCCUGCUGCAUGGUGGGGGUUGGAAAGUUUCGGCGGUUGGGGAUGGACUCGCGGCUUAUCAGCUUGUUGGUGGGGUAGUGGCUUACCAAGGCUUUGACGGGUAGCCGGCCUGAGAGGGUGACCGGCCACAUUGGGACUGAGAUAAGGCCCAGACUCCUACGGGAGGCAGCAGUGGGGAAUAUUGCACAAUGGGCGGAAGCCUGAUGCAGCAACGCCGCGUGCGGGAUGACGGCCUUCGGGUUGUAAACCGCUUUCGCCUGUGACGAAGCGUGAGUGACGGUAAUGGGUAAAGAAGCACCGGCUAACUACGUG